RNAcentral lists this ribosomal RNA (697 nucleotides) under uncultured Flavobacteriia bacterium. Its description in RNAcentral is "bacterial SSU rRNA". It matches the Rfam family "Bacterial small subunit ribosomal RNA", at positions 1 to 687 of the family's 1533-position model. The record is from RNAcentral. Lineage: Bacteria; Pseudomonadati; Bacteroidota; Flavobacteriia.
AAUUCGCCCUUAGAGUUUGAUCAUGGCUCAGGAUGAACGCUAGCGGCAGGCUUAAUACAUGCAAGUCGUGGGGCAGCAGGUCCCGCAAGGGAUGCUGGCGACCGGCAAACGGGUGCGGAACACGUACGCAACUUUCCUUCAAGUGGGGAAUAGCCCAGGGAAACUUGGAUUAAUACCCCGUAAUAUUAAGAGGUGGCAUCACCAUUUAAUUAUAGCUCCGGCGCUUGAAGAUGGGCGUGCGACUGAUUAGGUAGUUGGCGGGGUAACGGCCCACCAAGCCUACGAUCAGUAACUGGUGUGAGAGCACGACCAGUCACACGGGCACUGAGACACGGGCCCGGCUCCUACGGGAGGCAGCAGUAAGGAAUAUUGGGCAAUGGACGCAAGUCUGACCCAGCCAUGCCGCGUGGAGGAUGAAGGUCCUCUGGAUUGUAAACUUCUUUUAUCUGGGAAGAAAUCCAUGAAUUCUUUCGUGGUUGACGGUACCAGAUGAAUAAGCACCGGCUAACUCCGUGCCAGCAGCCGCGGUAAUACGGAGGGUGCAAGCGUUAUCCGGAUUCACUGGGUUUAAAGGGUGCGUAGGUGGGCAGGUAAGUCCAGUGGUGAAAUCCCCCGAGCUUAACUUGGGAACUGCCGUUGAUACUAUCUGUCUUGAAUAUCGUGGAGGUAAGCGGAAUAUGUCAUGUAGCGGUGAAAU